ACUACAAUCAUGUGGAAUCUUUCAGAUUUUUCUCUGAAGAAUUCGUUGUUGAUAUUAGCUUUCCAUUUACUCAGCUUUCGUUUUUCAUUAUAAUAAAUAUGAAAUUUUCUUCAAAAAUAUAUCUGAAAUAGAGUUUUUUAUCAAGUCUUUGUCUGGAAUUGAUAUGGAUUCUAAUAAAUUCGUAGAUACUAUUUUUUUACAUAAUGAAUUUAGUUUCCUCCAAAAUCUCAUCAAGAAAGUUUUGACUUUAACAACACUCAUCGUGCAUUUAAGGAAGCACGAGGAGAGUCGGGUCUUUCUUUUAUAUCGAGCAUUCUUUGUGAAAUGGAAAUGGCCAUUAACCAUCUUAAGGGGUGCAUUCUUUGUGAGUUGCUAUAAGGCAUGUCAGGAAGGACUGUCGGUGGUGGAGCCUCCCUUUUAAAGCACCUUAUAGUCAAAUACGUGGAAGCAAAAGAAAAAUUUUGAAGCAUACGUGGAAGCACCAAAAUAUUGAUCUGGAAAAGUGACAUCGCUUGUGCUCGAUCAAUAUUACUAGUAGAAUAUUCAUGAAUGUUUCUUUUUCACUCAACCCAGGGUUGCAAGGUUAUCAGCUUCCACCAUAAGCGCGAUCGGAAGCUAGCAAAGUUCUCAGCCAAUAGCGUGGCCGAAAAAAAAAAGUGUCUCUUGUGUAUUUAAUACUUAUGUGUAUACUUUUAAGAUUCAAAGGUAAGCGUCGCAAAGCAAUCAUCGUCCAAAACAAUGACAGGAAUUGGUAUGAAAUUUGGUAUAAAAUGCAAAGGCAUAAGUGUGUAUCCUAAUGGUACCCUUUCAGGUUUAAAAAAGAAAGAGAUUCCUAAUUCUAAAGCUCCUAGCAAUGUCUCGGCUGAUAAGCUCUUGGAGUUUGGUUCUUCAUGGGGCUUGGAGUUUUCAUCUCAAAAGGUUAAUCGUAAAAAAAUAUUUAACGAUCUUGUAAAAAAUCACGAUGAUUUAAUUAUAAAAGAUGUUGAGGAGUAUGUUAAUUGACAAUGGUCACCCAUUGUUGUCUGCAAGUUGCUCCUGAUUUGUUAGAUAUCACAAGUUGUUAGUUUUCACAAAUUGUGUCUUCUUUUGUUGGUACUCUUUGUAUUCUUAGAAACUUCUUUGAUUUAGUUGUUUUUUGUUGUUCUGGGCUUUUCA
This is a long non-coding RNA of Papaver somniferum (opium poppy), 1155 nucleotides long. RefSeq lists it as uncharacterized. The record is from RefSeq and is a predicted model, not a curated record. Lineage: Eukaryota; Viridiplantae; Streptophyta; Magnoliopsida; Ranunculales; Papaveraceae. The transcript is spliced from 2 exons.